Molecule: ribosomal RNA, 477 nt
Filed under: uncultured bacterium
Lineage: Bacteria
Description: partial 16S ribosomal RNA
Rfam family: Bacterial small subunit ribosomal RNA
Source: RNAcentral
GAUGAACGCUGGCGGCGUGCCUAAUACAUGCAAGUCGAGCGAACAGACGAGGAGCUUGCUCCUCUGACGUUAGCGGCGGACGGGUGAGUAACACGUGGAUAACCUACCUAUAAGACUGGGAUAACUUCGGGAAACCGGAGCUAAUACCGGAUAAUAUAUUGAACCGCAUGGUUCAAUAGUGAAAGACGGUUUUGCUGUCACUUAUAGAUGGAUCCGCGCCGCAUUAGCUUGUUGGUAAGGUAACGGCUUACCAAGGCAACGGUGGGUAGCCGACCUGAGAGGGUGACCGGCGACACUGGGACUGAGGGACGGCCCAGACGGGUACGGGCGGCAGAAGUGGGGAAUAUUGCAGAAGGGGCGGAAGCGUGAUGAAGAAACGCCGCGUGCGGGAAAACGGCUUUCGGGGGGUAAACCAAUUUUGAAUGUAACGAAGCGUGAGUGACGGUAACGGGUAAAGAAGCCCCGGCUAACUACGUG